AGUCGUUCUGCCCAUUGAAAUUAAAAGGCUGCAGUAUAUUAACUGUACAAAGGUAGCAUAAUAAAUAGUUUUUUAAUUGAAAACUUGAAUGAAUGAAUUGAUAAAAUAUAAUUUGUCUCUAGAAUUUAAAUUAAAUUAAAAGUAAAAAUGCUUUUAUUUAAUUAUUAGACGAUAAGACCCUAAGAAUUUUAAUUUAUUUUAUAAUUUUUAAUUUUAAUGUAAUAAAAUAAUUUUUAUUGGGAGGAUAAUUAAAUUAAACUUUAAUUGUAAUAAAUAAUUUAAUUAAAUUUAAUGAUUAUUAUUAUAAUUAUAAGAAAUAAUUACCUUAGGGAUAACAGCGUAAUAAUUUUGGAAAGUUCAUAUUGAUAAAAUUGUUUGCGACCUCGAUGUUGAAUUAAAAUAAAAUUUAAGUGGAGAUAUUUAAUUUUUUAGUCUG
This 436-nucleotide ribosomal RNA is filed under the name Parachartergus fraternus. RNAcentral's name for it is "partial large subunit ribosomal RNA". Lineage: Eukaryota; Metazoa; Arthropoda; Insecta; Hymenoptera; Vespidae. The record is from RNAcentral.